Molecule: non-coding RNA, 1536 nt
Organism: Salvia hispanica
Lineage: Eukaryota; Viridiplantae; Streptophyta; Magnoliopsida; Lamiales; Lamiaceae
Source: RefSeq, a predicted model, not a curated record
AAUUAAUUUGAAUUAAAGAAAAGCGAAUCUUACUCGUAGAAAGCUCGUUGAAUAAAUUUUCCUCGUUUCCACCAUGAGUUGAUGACUUUGUGCUAACUGCAGAGUUCAUAUAGGAGAAUCUCUAGUUUUUUUCUUUUUUGGCACUCAUCAUGGAUACAGCCGGAAUUCAGAAGCAGUCAUUCGGUCAAACGGAAAUCAACUGGGACAAGCUUCACAAAACUAAAUUCUAUGUUGCUGGAGCUGGAAUUUUUUCUGGAAUUACAGUGGGACUUUAUCCAAUGUCAGUUGUGAAAACCAGGAUGCAAGUAGCGUCACACAAUGCUGUAGAAAGAAAUGCUUUGUCUGUCAUAAAAGGCCUCCUAAAAACAGACGGGAUUCGUGGUUUAUAUAAAGGUUUUGGCACUGUCGUGACAGGAGCCAUACCUACCAGAAUAAUAUUUCUUACUGCAUUAGAGACAACAAAACUAGCUGCACUGAAGAUGUUAGCGCCAUUCAAACUGUCAGAGCCUACACAAGCAGCUGUAGCAAAUGGGGUUGCUGGCCUGAUGGCAUCUUUUUGUUCACAAGCUGUAUUUGUUCCAGUUGAUGUGGUUAGUCAGAAACUGAUGGUGCAAGGAUAUUCAGGCCAUGCAACCUAUACUGGGGGCGUGGAUGUUGUUCGUAAGGUGGUAAAGUCUGAGGGGAUUCGCGGUCUGUAUAGAGGCUUUGGGCUCUCAGUUCUCACAUAUUCUCCAGCCAGUGCAGUCUGGUGGGCAACCUAUGGUGCAAGUCAACGAGUCAUUUGGAGAUUUCUGGAUGAUGGCAAUGCUGCUCCGUCCGAAGGAAAAGUUCUUUUGGUUCAAGCUGCUGGAGGAAUUUCUGCUGGUGCAACUUCAACAUGUGUAACAACCCCAUUAGACACCAUUAAAACUCGCUUACAGGUGACUGGGCAUGACAAAAGACCCACAACAAAGCAAGUGGUUAGAAGUUUGAUUGCUGAUGAUGGAUGGACUGGCUUUUACAGAGGAUUUGGCCCAAGAUUUUUCACCAUGUCAGCUUAUGGAACAUCAAUGAUUCUGGCUUAUGAAUUUUUAAGUAAUCUUCUGACGAUAAUAGUUCACAUUUACGGACUGAAAUGAAAUAACAAAUGCAAUCGAUAGAUUUACGAAGAGAGGCCACUGUACUUUCAUGAUCGGAGCUACAUGAACUAGCCUUAAUAAACGUCAACAAGCAGAACUGUCGAAUGAGAACUUGUAUUUUGAAUCUGGAGUGUAAAGAACUCUAUUUUUCAUCAAAUGUCAAAUCAAUGAAGCUUGAGAAUGAAUGGAAAUCGAAGCAUUUCAUCUAAAACUAAAACAAUCAUCAUAUUUGUGUGCAAUAUACAAUUCAUGUAGCCAUCAAAACAAAACUGGAGCAGAUAUGCAGUAUCAAUUUUUGGAAUCAAGGGCUUGUUUUCCCCGACUACAUCGUUUCCAGUUGUCGAAUGUCCAGGGACACGUAGUGGUCAAGAGUGAUGAUGCUUUCAAAUUUGAGUCAUGUUGUAGGCAUUCAUAACCG